AGCGUCUGCGUUGCCAAGGGCUAAAAUAGAAUAUUUCUGAAGCAGAUCUCGCUGCAAGUCCUGCCUCUCCCAUCUCUUCAAUGGUUUACAGAAGGAGGUACCCAAGUGCCAUCUCCUCAUUGGUUAUACCCACGUGGGUGAUUGAAAGACAAACUGUUUUGCCGGUCGUCAUGGUAAUACUAUGAAAGUUUAAAUGCUAAUCACCAUAUAACUUCAAAGAUGAAAAAGCCUGGAAGGAGGAGAGAUGAAUAGAAACGAUUCGGUUGAUCGUUUUAUGUGUGGAUUGAUUGUCGGAGUAGAGGACCUUGUGCCUUUCAGCAGCUGGAUUUGGGUUCCCUGUGUGUUCAUCCCCAGGAGACACAGUGGAGCUGAAUGAAGCGUGGGACUAAAAACCAACAACAGAGAACCUUUGUAAAAAAAAAUACACUGUGACUUUAAAAUGUAUAUAGUAUGUAUAUGCUGGAAGUAGAAGCUUAAGUGUUAUUGUCUAUUAGUUU
Molecule: long non-coding RNA, 497 nt
Organism: Oncorhynchus tshawytscha (Chinook salmon)
Lineage: Eukaryota; Metazoa; Chordata; Actinopteri; Salmoniformes; Salmonidae
Source: Ensembl